CAAAACAUUGUAUAAAUAUUUUUCAAAUCAAAAGAAACAAAUCUCAUCUCUUGAAGAAAAGAUUGACAAUAUGGAAAAAAAAUUGAAGUAGAAAAAUAAAAAGUUCUUAAUGAACAAAAACAAAAUUUUGUUUGCAAAAAUCAUGAAUCUCUUUCCUUCCGAAUAGUUCAACUAAAAAGAUUCCUAGAAAGAUAUUAGAAAGGACAAGUUGGAUUGAAG
RNAcentral lists this long non-coding RNA (219 nucleotides) under Lathyrus oleraceus (garden pea). RNAcentral's name for it is "Pisum sativum (pea) long non-coding RNA (PSAT_LNC028579)". The record is from RNAcentral. Lineage: Eukaryota; Viridiplantae; Streptophyta; Magnoliopsida; Fabales; Fabaceae.